GCUUAACGCGAAGAACCUUACCAGGGUUUGACAUCCUACGACCGCUCCUUAAUAGGAGUUUUCCCGCAAGGGACGUAGAGACAGGUGCUGCAUGGCUGUCGUCAGCUCGUGUCGUGAGAUGUUGGGUUAAGUCCCGCAACGAGCGCAACCCUCGCCUUUAGUUGCCAUCAUUCAGUUGGGCACUCUAGAGGGACCGCCGGCGACAAGCCGGAGGAAGGUGGGGAUGACGUCAAGUCCUCAUGGCCCUUACACCCUGGGCUACACACGUGCUACAAUGGCGGUGACAGUGGGCAGCUACUCAGCGAUGAGCGGCUAAUCCCAAAAAACCGCCCCAGUUCAGAUUGCACUCUGCAACUCGAGUGCAUGAAGGUGGAAUCGCUAGUAAUCGCAGAACAGCAGGCUGCGGUGAAUACGUUCCCGGGUCUUGUACACACCG
This 436-nucleotide ribosomal RNA is filed under the name uncultured bacterium. RNAcentral describes it as "bacterial SSU rRNA". It matches the Rfam family "Bacterial small subunit ribosomal RNA", at positions 954 to 1392 of the family's 1533-position model. The record is from RNAcentral.